AGUGAACGCUGGCGAUAGGCCUAACACAUGCAAGUCGAACGGCAGCACAGUAAGAGCUUGCUCUUACGGGUGGCGAGUGGCGGACGGGUGAGGAAUACAUCGGAAUCUACUUUUUCGUGGGGGAUAACGUAGGUAAACUUACGCUAAUACCGCAUACGACCUACGGGUGAAAGCAGGGGAUCUUCUGACCUUGCGCGAUUGAAUGAGCCGAUGUCGGAUUAGCUAGUUGGCGGGGUAAAGGCCCACCAAGGCGACGAUCCGUAGCUGGUCUGAGAGGAUGAUCAGCCACACUGGAACUGAGACACGGUCCAGACUCCUACGGGAGGCAGCAGUGGGGAAUAUUGGACAAUGGGCGCAAGCCUGAUCCAGCCAUACCGCGUGGGUGAAGAAGGCCUUCGGGUUGUAAAGACCUUUUGUUGGGAAAGAAAAGCAGCAGGUUAAUACCCCGCUGUUCUGACGGUACCCAAAGAAUAAGCACCGGCUAACUUCGUG
This 492-nucleotide ribosomal RNA is filed under the name uncultured bacterium. RNAcentral describes it as "partial 16S ribosomal RNA". It matches the Rfam family "Bacterial small subunit ribosomal RNA", at positions 29 to 507 of the family's 1533-position model. The record is from RNAcentral.